This is a long non-coding RNA of Aricia agestis (brown argus), 83 nucleotides long. RefSeq lists it as uncharacterized. NCBI's taxonomy places the organism in Eukaryota, Metazoa, Arthropoda, Insecta, Lepidoptera, Lycaenidae. The record is from RefSeq and is a predicted model, not a curated record. The transcript has 3 exons.
CAGACACAAUAGAUUUUCAAUUGUUAUGCGGCAGCCAGCUGCCGUUUGGAGAAUGAUGGGUUAAGUAGUGUCUAUGAACUAAA